Molecule: transfer RNA, 62 nt
Filed under: Nippotaenia mogurndae
Lineage: Eukaryota; Metazoa; Platyhelminthes; Cestoda; Nippotaeniidea; Nippotaeniidae
Description: tRNA-Thr
Source: RNAcentral
GGUUACUUAGUUUAUUAAAAAUGUAGGUUUUGUAAGUCUAAGAGGAUAAUUAUCAGUGACCU